RNAcentral lists this ribosomal RNA (118 nucleotides) under Phlyctochytrium irregulare. The record is from RNAcentral. Lineage: Eukaryota; Fungi; Chytridiomycota; Chytridiomycetes; Chytridiales; Chytridiaceae.
AGCUACGGCCAUACAUAGAUGAAAAUACCGGAUCCCGUCCGAUCUCCGAAGUCAAGCAUCUAAUGGCGACGUCAGUACUGUGAUGGGGGACCGCACGGGAAUACGUCGUGCUGUAGUU